RNAcentral lists this ribosomal RNA (273 nucleotides) under uncultured bacterium. RNAcentral describes it as "partial 16S ribosomal RNA". It matches the Rfam family "Bacterial small subunit ribosomal RNA", at positions 524 to 796 of the family's 1533-position model. The record is from RNAcentral.
UACGGAGGGUGCAAGCGUUAAUCGGAAUUACUGGGCGUAAAGCGCGCGUAGGCGGUUUGUUAAGUCAGAUGUGAAAGCCCAGGGCUCAACCUUGGAACUGCAUCUGAUACUGGCAGGCUAGAGUACAGGAGAGGGAAGUGGAAUUUCAGGUGUAGCGGUGAAAUGCGUAGAGAUCUGAAGGAACACCAGUGGCGAAGGCGGCUCACUGGCUCGAUACUGACGCUGAGGUACGAAAGUGUGGGGAGCAAACAGGAUUAGAUACCCGCGUAGUCC